GACGAACGCUGGCGGCGUGCUUAACACAUGCCAGUCGAACGGAAAGGCCCUGCUUGCAGGGUACUCGAGUGGCGAACGGGUGAGUAACACGUGGGUGAUCUGCCCUGCACUUCGGGAUAAGCCUGGGAAACUGGGUCUAAUACCGGAUAGGAGCCAUUUUUAGUGUGAUGGUUGGAAAGUUUUUUCGGUGUAGGAUGAGCUCGCGGCCUAUCAGCUUGUUGGUGGGGUAAUGGCCUACCAAGGCGGCGACGGGUAGCCGGCCUGAGAGGGUGGACGGCCACAUUGGGACUGAGAGACGGCCCAGACGCCUACGGGAGGCAGCAGUGGGGAAUAUUGCACAAGGGGCGCAAGCCUGAUGCAGCGACGCCGCGUGGGGGAUGACGGCCUUCGGGUUGUAAACUCCUUUCGCUAGGGACGAAGCUUUUUGUGACGGUACCUAGAUAAGAAGCACCGGCUAACUACGUG
RNAcentral lists this ribosomal RNA (465 nucleotides) under uncultured bacterium. RNAcentral's name for it is "partial 16S ribosomal RNA". It matches the Rfam family "Bacterial small subunit ribosomal RNA", at positions 28 to 507 of the family's 1533-position model. The record is from RNAcentral.